RNAcentral lists this long non-coding RNA (18588 nucleotides) under Nicotiana tabacum (common tobacco). RNAcentral's name for it is "long non-coding RNA (NTAB_LNC004908)". The record is from RNAcentral. Lineage: Eukaryota; Viridiplantae; Streptophyta; Magnoliopsida; Solanales; Solanaceae.
GAAAAAAAGUGUUUUUGAGGAAAAGCAGAAGUGGUUUUAGAGAAGCAGAAAAAAGUAGCUUCUCUCCAAAAGCACUUUUUUGAGAAGCAUUUUUGAGNNNNNNNNNNNNNNNNNNNNNNNNNNNNNNNNNNNNNNNNNNNNNNNNNNNNNNNNNNNNNNNNNNNNNNNNNNNNNNNNNNNNNNNNNNNNNNNNNNNNNNNNNNNNNNNNNNNNNNNNNNNNNNNNNNNNNNNNNNNNNNNNNNNNNNNNNNNNNNNNNNNNNNNNNNNNNNNNNNNNNNNNNNNNNNNNNNNNNNNNNNNNNNNNNNNNNNNNNNNNNNNNNNNNNNNNNNNNNNNNNNNNNNNNNNNNNNNNNNNNNNNNNNNNNNNNNNNNNNNNNNNNNNNNNNNNNNNNNNNNNNNNNNNNNNNNNNNNNNNNNNNNNNNNNNNNNNNNNNNNNNNNNNNNNNNNNNNNNNNNNNNNNNNNNNNNNNNNNNNNNNNNNNNNNNNNNNNNNNNNNNNNNNNNNNNNNNNNNNNNNNNNNNNNNNNNNNNNNNNNNNNNNNNNNNNNNNNNNNNNNNNNNNNNAAAAGUACUUUUAAGAAAAGCACUUUUAAAAAAAAAUACUUCUCAUAAUAAACUGAUUUUUGUAGCUUGACCAAACGGACUACUAGUUUGAUAUGAAUUAUAUAUACUAAUUAAUUUUUUAUACACCCAUUUAUCAAGCAAUAUUAAAUUCUCAAUUUUUUGAAAGACAAAAUCCUCUUACUGUAUAUGAAUUAUAUUAAAUUCUUAAUUCUUUGAUUCAGUUAUAUAAAUAAUUUAUUGCACAAUGUAGUUAGUACAAGAUUAUAGUUGUUUAAAUUUGAUAUAAUUAGUCAUCCACAUAAUUGUGGGAUAUAAUUUCAUUUUUUUAAUUAUAAUUGAAACUUAUAUAGUCAGAUCUUUCUAUAACAACAUAUUUAUACAACAAGCACUUAUUAUAAAAGUUAAAUUUUUCUCAUAAUCGAUUUUUAUGUUAUGUUAUAAUAUAUAUCCAGCAUGCGAGAGGUACGGGGAUCGAUACCUCGCAUCUCCAUUGUUACUACUCCUUCGGGGUAGGAGUAAGGUCUGCUUAUACACUACCGUCCCCAGUGUCACGACCCAAGCCGAUGGGCUGCGAUGGGCACUCGGUUACGUACCGGGUGCCCGUCGCGGCCCAUCGGUAUGGGUCGUGACACUUAGACCCCACUAGUUGGAUUUUACUUGGUGGUUGUUGUUGUUGUUAUAAUAUGUAUCCUCUAUAACGAUGCUUCACUAUAGCAACAAAAAAAUAUCGGAACAAAAGAGGUCAUUAUAGAGAGGUUUGACUGUACGUAAGAUAUACUUUUUAAAAAAAUUAAAUUUUUAAAUAAAAGUUUUACAUUUUAUUUUUAUAAAAUUUAAUAUAGAAGAUAAAUAUUUUUGUUGAAAAUUUUUAUUCACGCAUUUGAUUAAAUAUAAAUUGUUUAAUAAGAUAUGCAACUAUUAGUGAAAACUUUCUUAAAUGUUGAACAAGUAAGUUAUUUGUAUUUUUAGUUAUUAUAAAAUUCAUAUUACAUAUGAAUAACUCAAUUUAGUUUGUUUAUUUAUUGAACGCUGAAAAAUUAUCUUAAAUUUGUUGUAUGCUAUUUUAUUUGUGUAGGAUUUUCAUUAUAUAAGAGGCUUACAUAUUUUUAGAAAAAUAAGAAUAGUAUCAUUAUAGUUAAAGACUUUUGGAAGAUAAACCUAUUUUGCCGAAUAUAUAACAAUUCUAAUUUAUUAUUUAAUAGCUUUAUUUUAAUAAACGUAGUUAUAUAUUUACCUCGUAGAGGGUGUAAGUGUAAGAUUUUUAUAAUAUAGGGGAAGUAAAUUUGAUUUUAAAAUACAACAAAUGUAUCCGAAAAUUGAUUGAUAUUAUAAUGAUUAAACCUAAAAAUUAAAAUAAAUAAUAAAGUUAGUGGUAGAAGUUUCGUUUCUAGAUCUUCUGCUAUAUGUUAGUACAAGAACUAGCAACAAAUUUCAUUUUUUGUCGCAAACCCGCCACUAUUUUACUAUACUUUUUUCAGUUUAAUUUUUAUUCUGUUUAACUUCUAUUUUAAGAUUGAAGAUGUUUUUCAUUUUAAUCUUUCUUAUUUAGAAGUUAAUUAAUUCUUCAAGUUAUAUACAUUGUUGUUUUUCCAAAUUUCUAUAUGAAAUUAUUUUUUCAUAACCGCAUAUAUUUUUUAGACUAACUCUUGUCAUGACUUUCAUAGUCGAAGUAAAAGAAUUCUUCGACAAAAAUUUUUACAGCUAAUUUAUUAUAGUUAACAUAUUAUUAGUGCAAUGAUACAUCAAUUGUAUGACAAUAUAUAUAGUUAUGGUCAAUUAUGAAAGGUAACUGUCUACUAUUCAUUUUGUCAUGACAAAUAAUUGGAACAAUUAAGCUAACUAUUUGUACGUUUUUUUUAACUUGAAGCAAAAAUAUCAAUUGACUACAAGAUUGUAUCUUAACUAAUUUAAUGUGUCUAAAAUGUUAUUAUUGCUACAAGAAGCUUUGAGUCAUUGCAAAAAUUUAUGAUUAGCUAUAAAAUUUUACCACAAUAAUAAAUAUGUGGCUAUAUCAUUUAUGAAAAAUAAUUGUAGUUAUUGAGCCGACUAUUGCCAAGAUUUAUUUUAAAAUUGAAGCAAAAUUGUUUUUCUCAACUGCAACAUUUUAAUUUAAAUAAUUUAUUGCGACUAAAAAAUUUAUUUUGCUAUAGUAAGUUUUAGUCUGUGGCAAAAACUAUUGAUUAGCUAUGAAAGUUUAUCAUAUCAAAACAUUUGUGGAUAUAUUAUUUUGUCAUGACAAUUAAUCGUAGCUAUUAAGCCAACUAUUGCCACAAUAUUUUAUAACUUGAAGCAAAAAUAUUUAUUUAGCUACAACAAUUUGUUUCAAAAAAUUUAUCAUGGCUAAAAGUAUACUAUUGCUGCGGUAACUCUUAACCCGUGGCAAAAAUUUAUGAUUAGCUAUGAAAUUUUACUGUAGCAAUAAGUUUGUAGCUGUUUAGGUAGUUAUUGCCGCAAAAAUUAGUAAUUAUAGCAAAAAUAAUGAAUUAGCUUUGUAAAUUUAGUUUUGUGGCUAAGAGAUUUUAACAAUUUGUAGAUAGCCACGAAAUUCUAUUUUUUGUGGCUAUUAGUGAGUAAUAGCUACGAAAUUUAGAUUUGUAGCUUAGAUUUCGUAGCUACAGAUAUAUUUUGUUGUAGUGAAGGUUCGUAGGUAGUCGAGCGUUUCUCCUUGUCUUACUCAAUUCUCUAGCAUUAGUGUUAGUUUGUGUAACACCCUAGGAAAAAAAUUGACUUACUUAAGCACUAGUAAGAAAGUUGUUGUGUGCUAAUUAAAUUAUUUUGUGUGCGGACGAGGAUUAUUGAUAUGAUGAAUAUCAAUUGGAUAUGAUAAUACGUGUGCAAGACAUAUUAUGAGUGAUGUUGGUUCUAAGGAGAGCCCUCCGUCUAAGUCAAGUUGGAAAAUUACAUGAUAGACUACAGUUCCAAAUGAGUACGCACAAGACCAAACUUUGGAUGAGUAUAUCUACUUAUAUAUAAAGAAUUAUGUGAUGAACUAUCAAUAAAAGAUCUUCGAGUCUAGUUUCUAACGCUUCAAACCGUUCAUCAUUUGGACACUCCUACUAGAAGUUAUGACCAAAUUACCAAAGGCUAAAAGAAUGUGAUUCUGCGGUCAGAUGUGCGAUAACAAAAACAUUAUGCAAACCGCAAAAGUGGUCUGUGGACCGCAAAAUGGUCGCAGCCCAGUUCUGGGCACCAGUUUUGCGGUCCAUUGUGUGACCCGCAUACCCAUUGUGUGGUCCAUUGUGCGACCGCAGACCUGAGUUCGGAGGGUCCAUUUUUUUAUUUUCAUAACCCAAUCCCAUUUUGAUAAAUAGGCUUUAAGGAUUAUUUUGGGGCAAUUAUUUGAUGAUUUUAGAGAGAGGUAAGAGUAUUUUAGAGAGAGAAGGAGGAAACCUAACAUUCUAAUCAUCCAAUCUUGCACCAAUCUUCAAGAAUCAAGGAAGCCAAUCACAAGAUCUUCAUCUAAGAGGUAAGGUUCCAUACCCUAGCUCUUAAUUUUGAAUUUUAACUAAAGAUGGGUAAUUAACAAGAUAAUUCUUGGGUGUGUGAGUUGUUUAUUUUGCAUGCAUGGGUUAUCAAAGGGUGUAGAAAGAUUGUUGAGCUAAAAAAAUGGUAAAGAAUGGGUUGUGGGAUGAUGGAAUCCUUCAUAAAGGGACCUUGAAACCUUAAUGCACACCUAGUGUUACGCCCCGCAGUAUUACGUCGAUGUUGUGUUCUGCAGUAAUAUAUUACGAUGAUGUUACCUUCUGCAAUAAUAUAUUACGAUGAUGUUAUGCCUUGCAGUAUUACAUUACGAUGAUGGUACAUUUCGCAGUAUUAAGUUACGACGGUAUUGCACCCAACAAUAUUAUAUUACGGUGAUGUUACGCUUCGCAGUAAUAAGUUACGACAGUGUUGCACCCAACAGUAUUACAUUAUGGUGAUAUCACGCUUCGCAUUAUUAAGUUACGACGAUAUUACACCCUGAAAUAUUAUACGUUGAAUUUGUCAUAAGGUAAUUGACAUAAAUCCAAGUAAAAGAUUAUUUAGAGAUUAUAAAGAUUAUGCUAUUUCACAAGUGAUUAGUAAAGGUGAAAGGGGAAGCAAGUCAAAGAAAAUAAAUUUUUCGUCCAAGUUUGUCAUAUUGGGUAAAAUACGGCCCGAACUAAAAUACCCAGUAUUUAUCGACUAGUGACAUGCAAGGUACUGCAUAUCCAUGCUAGAAAGGUGUAUAAGGUAUGUGAAAAGUGAGUAAUAUUUUAAGUAAGUGAGAAUAAUUCUCAAUUUUUUGGGUAAUUGGUUAAUUAUCGGGUAACGGGAUAUUACCCGAUUAAUUAACAAGUGGAUAAGAUUAAAUCCCUUUCCCCCAACAAAACGUGGCAGAAGGACACUAUUUGAGAAAGUGACUCAUAUGGAUUUAUGGGUAGGUGGCUCGCAAAAACUUAAUUGAAUAUUAAAGAAAGCAAGAGUUAGUAAUGUCUUGUUUCCAUGUUCAUUUGGAAAAAAUCAGAAUGUCCCUUAAAUUCAAAAUGGAAAUCAUAUAUCAAGUCUCCAUCUCCANNNNNNNNNNNNNNNNNNNNNNNNNNNNNNNNNNNNNNNNNNNNNNNNNNNNNNNNNNNNNNNNNNNNNNNNNNNNNNNNNNNNNNNNNNNNNNNNNNNNNNNNNNNNNNNNNNNNNNNNNNNNNNNNNNNNNNNNNNNNNNNNNNNNNNNNNNNNNNNNNNNNNNNNNNNNNNNNNNNNNNNNNNNNNNNNNNNNNNNNNNNNNNNNNNNNNNUGACAUCUAUACGCAUAUGCAUGACGCUAAAAGUAAUUUAUGAUUUACAGAGUUAUCCAGACUUACACGUUGAGUCAAUUACUCUAUAUUUCUUCCAUGCCUGUUAUGUACUUAUUUAUGUGCCUUACAUACUCGGUACAGUUUUCGUACUGACGUUCCUUUUGCUUGGGGAUACUGCAUUUCAUGCCCGCAUGUCCAGAUAGACAGGUCGAGAGCCUCCCCUCCGCAAGUAGGCUAUCAGCUCAGCGGAAGAUGUUGGUGCGCUCUAUUUGCUUCGGAGUUGCGUGUUUGGUUAAUAUGAUUUAGACAUGUAUUGUUUGGUAUGACGGGGCUCUGUCCUGACCUUUAUGACAUUUAUAUACUCUUAGAGGCUUAUAGACAUAUGUCGUGUACGUGAAAGAUUGUACGCCUUUGUCGGCCUAUGUUUUGAGUUUAUAAAUGAUCAUGCUGGCCUAUUAGGCCCGUAUGUCACGUGUAUAUAAUGAUAUAAUAAGAAAUAUAUAUUACGUUGGUACUCGGUUGAGUAAGGUACCAGGUGCCCUUCGCGGCCCAUUGGUUUGGGUCAUGACAAAAGUGGUAUCAGAGCAGUUCUGUCCUAGGGAGUCUACAAGCCGUGUCUAGUAAAGUUUUGUUUAUGGGUGUGUCGUGAACCACACUUAUAAGUAGGAGACUACAUGGCAUUUAGGACUGUCACUCUUUCUUCUUACUCUAGAUUGUAUGGUACAGCUCAGUUGUAAGAAUUCAAAUUCCUAACGUCUAUUUUACUCGUAGUAAGACGAUACCUACACCCACAAAGACGGUUGGUAAAAGACAUGGCUAUGAAAGAGUUGAGUCAGAGGAACUCGACUUUGCAUCAUGCUUAUGAUGAGUAACUGUAAGGUCUUCAGCAGAUCAUGGGUGUACUGAAAGGUGUAAGCCUCUUGAUAAGGAACCUUAAGGAAAGAAUAUUUAUCCACCUUUAUGAUGAAAGACAACGCUUUCAAGAAGUAAAAGAAGCAAGGUGAAGAAGGGUACGAGGUGCCCAGUUAAUGAAGAUUAUCAGUAUUACAGUUCCGGCAGAAAAAUAUAAGCAUUAAGAGUUACCCUCAAUAUUAACAGAGGUAUAUACAAUUGGUCGCGCCCAUUCCAGAUAUGCCAUAUGGGGGUUAACAGAAGUAGUAUAAGAUGAUAUGAUGGAUGAAUUGUUCGCGUCAGGAGACAUUUUCGAAGGAUAUUGCAAAUGUGCUAAUAUAUCUCUUUGUGAGACACCCAGAUGGUGCACUCUAAAAUAGUACAGCUAGAUAUGAGUACUACAAAGAUAGGCACUAGAAGCCUUAAAGCGAUAAAUAUUACCUUAGUAUGGCUCCCAUCCCUAGUAGAACGAGAAUGCUGGGCAACCCGAAGAGCUAAUGGAUGGAGCAAGGGGAGCCAAAAACAAAAGAAUGUUUUGUUCAAGUUUUCAAAGUAAAGUAAUAGACCUGGAUAAUUAGUGGGAAAUAAGAAGAGAGUUAAUGAAGCAUUAUGAGUAAGACGUGAUACAUGGAUGACAACGGUAUAUCAAAGGAAUGACAAUAUUACAGAGUCUAUAGUCAAGUGAAGGGAAAUACGAGAGGUGAUAGGCCUUGAGAAAACAAAAGAGUAUAGGCCAUGAAGUCAUAUUCUCAUUUCAUCAAAUAAGCUUGUGGUUCCAAUACAACUACCAGAAGGAAAAGUUAGACCUCAGAGUAAUAGAACCAGUAUGGAUUGGUAAAUAAGAUAAAUUAAACAUGAAUUAGGGACUGAGUGAUUUGAUGAUGGUUGGUAUCACAAAAAUUUCAGAUUGCAUUAUGGCAAUAACAGAAUGGACGACGGAAGAAUAACCUUUAAAGGUCAUUCAGGAAGAUGUUUCCGUAAAUCAAGCAAUGUGAACAAAGUUAAGCUUAAGGGACCGUAUAUGCCAGUUAUACUAAGUGUCACCCUCGCGAGUAAGGAAAUUUGUUAUCCUUGGUACAGAAGGAUUAUCGCAAGGCAUGUAAGGGCCAUGAAAGAUGUGAAAGGACGCCAAAGAUGAAGAGUAAAAACAUCUAUAGGCAGAUUGUCAUAGCUCCAAGUCUUAGUGUACACCCCUAAAGGGGGGAAUAUGGAGUGAUGUGGCAUUAAGUCGGAAUUAAGUGGUUCUAGUGACUAUGGAAUGAUAAAGGAAGAAUGCGAUAAAUGAAAGAGGAAUGAGAUGGCACUUAUCCAAAUCCUACAGAUAUACUACGAUUCUAAAAUAUUAUGCAAACAUGACGUCAAGGAGAAGAAGUAGGGGUUCCUGCCCGAGAUAUUAUUGAUAAUUAAGGAGUCAGUGCAAGACGUAAGUUAAGACAAAGGAAAUAACCCAAGAAAGAUUACGAGGAAUAUUGAUAUGAGAAUGGACCAACGAGUAGUUCGUAAUUGGUUAGGAAGAUCCCAGUUAUGGCUAAACAGAAGGUUACAGACGAGUCAUCAGAUCGUGUGAGAUAAACAUAGUAGAACCCAACAUGAAGAGUUCAGCCUCGAAGAAUAUCAUUAUAAUACUUGAGAUAUAUUCAAACAAUAGUCGAGGUAGUUAAAGAUACCAUAUGAGUGUUACUAGGAUAAAAGAAAGUGUCAUUGGGAAGGAACUCAAAAUAUCAGUUCAGAAGCAACCAUACAAGCAUAAAGGCAUGGAAGUAAGCAACUACAGAUGAUUAUAAGCAAGUAAGGACAUCAAAAAGGUCCGUAAUAAGCUCAAAACUUUACGAGAGUCAAGGGUUCUCCAUAAGUACUACAACGAAAGACUCGUUGAAGAGAUAAGAAAGAAGUCUUCAACCUAAGCACAACGACAUAAAGAGAAAAUGGUCGUGUAAUAACAAUCUUGCAACAACAUUGUAAGCAUUCCAAAGGAAAGUGGCACUUACCGUGGCUAAUAAACGGGAAGUAAGAAUUAAAAGUAAUAUUCAACAUCAUAUGAGUUGUAUGAAAACUCUGGCAAGUGUGGGCACUAAGAUAAGCUAAUGGACUCAACAAGGGGGCAUAAAGAACAAGAAACAUAAUAGCUUACGUUGAAAGAAAGCUAAGAUGGAACGAAAUAAUUAUUUUAUCAAUGAUCCAAAGUUAGUACGUUAUGGAUACACUCAAGAUUUUGGAGCAUUAUCCAGGCAGCAUAUUUGUUGACAAUCAUACAGCCAUAGAAGACUCCGGUAUAAGUUAAAAGAAAGAAUUGAGCCCAAGGCAUAGAUAAAAGAUUGAAUUGUUAAAAGAUUGUAUCAUGGAUAAUCCAUAACACCCAUGAAAAGCUAAGGUGAUAACUGAUACCAUGAGCCACAGAUCGGAAGAUAGCUUAAGCCUACGUAAAGGCUGAUUAGAAGGAAGAGGAAACUAAAGAAUUACAUCACCCAAGUAAAUCAGGAGUCUAAUUAUUGGACCUAGAAAAAUAUAGAAGUGUAGCUUAGAGAACAUGACAUAAUCACUCUUAAUAUUAGACUGUUCAAGAGAAAUAACACAACAACCAUAAUCUAUAAUGGCUAUACAAGGAAGCCAGUUAGAAGAAGUACCGACCUCAUAAUAAGUCAGUACGAAGCUCCCACCGGAUUGUGUAUGUACCAGAGGUGCGAUUAUUAUAAUAGAGCUUCAAGUUAUGAACGUGAAUUACACCUAGGUGGAAGGGAGGCCAGGAAAGAGAUAAAAGAUACAAUGCGAGAUUUUAAGGUAAGUAAGGUAAAGGUGAACAACGUAUGAGAUACUCAAAGACAGAAGAUCAUGAAUAGUCCAUACUUCGGAUAGAAGGCUAUAAGCACAGGGAUCCAAUAACCGGGAAUGAUAGCGGCAUCUUCGGCGGCAUAUCUUCCAGCGUAUGGUUUCUAAGUACUGAGUGAUCUAGUUAAGAGAAUAUAGAAAAGUUGGAGACGAUGUGAUGUAUCGCUUGACAUUCCAGAAUAACAUAAGAAAAUCUAUGGUGCAAGCAAGUUGAAGGAAAGUUUAUAAAUGAAUAUAUAUAGGUCGCAAGCUAAAGUAUGGUAGAGCGAUAAAAUUUUAAGAAAAUAUGAGUAAGGAUGAGGAAAGGCAAGUGAAAAGGUGAUGAGAAUGGAUAAGUCUUUAGGAUUAAGCCCAUGAAAACAAGAAGGGCAAACAGUUUCUCUAUGUUAUACAAAGCUCACUAUAGCUUUAAUGAACUCAAAGGAGCCUAAGAUUAAUAGCAUUUAGAAAGAAUGAAAUGCUGACCUAGUAAUAAAAUGAGGGUAUAAUUGUGACAGAUACAUGAUGAUGUUUGGGCCUUCGUUUGAAUAAUGAUUUGAAAAAAAGAGAAGAAAAGGAGAAAAGAUUUCGCUGGCGGCACGAAAUUAACAUACCCCCAUAAGGUGAGUCACAUUGAGACACUAUGAAAUACGAUUAUGGGAAUCACUUCGAAUAUUCCUUGAGGUAACGUAAUCCCUAGGGGCAAAGUAUUAUGUAAGAAGUUUCAAGUUAUCAAUGGUAUAUUGUAGACCAAUAUUGAGGUGAAUCAACAAUAGAUGACAAAAGUCACAAAGUAUGAGAUGAGAUUGGGCCGUCAUUCUAAACAUGAGCAGUAAUGAGAAAGCAUUAAAGGACUUAAAUUUAUACAUAUGGAAUAAGAAAUGAGAGUAAGCUGGGAUUUGGUAGCAGACCUCAACAACAAUAAAUUAAAGUAAGAGUUAUGGCAGUAAAUUCAUACGGAUGGCUAAACGGACCCAUGCAAUGAGAUAUAACAAUAUUUGUGAAUUCAACAAAGUACCGAGUGAAAACUUCAGUAUACUCAUAGAUGCCCAAAGGGAAAUCUUAUCAAGCUCUACAUAUGGAACCUAGAGAUUGGGCACACUUACAAGGUCAAAAUUGUACAGGCUACAUGAGGAAAGGUAGCCAUAGUUACGAGAUUGGAAGGAUUCCAACUACAAGUUGUGGUGUGAGAAGGAGGCCUAAGGGGGAAUGCCUUGGACUUUGGACUUAUUCACAAAACAGUCACCUAGAUGGAAAGGGAAGUUAUAAAGUAUUCGGAAGAUAUAAGUUAUGAAAGUGAUAAGUGCAUUACUCAACAUUCGAGGACGAAUGUUCCAAAAGAGGGGAAUAAUGUUACGCCCCACAGUAUUACGUCGAUGUUGUGCUUUGUAGUAAUAUAUUACGAUGAUGUUACCCUCUGCAGUAAUAUAUUACGAUGAUGUUACGCCUUGCAGUAUUGCAUUACGAUGAUGGUACAUUUCGCAGUAUUAAGUUACGACAGUAUUUCACCCAGCAGUAUUACAUUACGGUGAUGUUACGCUUUGUAGUAAGAAGUUACGACAGUGUUGCACCCAUCAGUAUUACAUUACGGUGAUGUCACGCUUCGCAGUAUUAAGUUACGAUGAUGUUGCACCCUGAAGUAUUGUACGUUGAAUUUGUCGUAAGGUAAUUGACAUCAGUCUAAGUAAAAGAUUAUUUGGAGAUUAUAAGGAUUAUGUUAUUUCACAAGUGAUUAGUAAAGGUAAAAGGGGAAGCAAGUCAAAGAAAAUGAAUUUUUCGUCCAAGUUUGGCAUAUUGGGGUAAAAUAUGGCCCGAGCUAAAAUACCCAGUAUUUAUGAACUAGUGACAUACAAGGUACUGCAUGCCCAUGCUAGAAAGGUGUAUAAGGUAUGUGAAAAGUGAGUAAUAUUUUAAGUAAGUGGGAAUAAUUCUCAAUUUUUUUGGGUAAUUGGUUAAUUACCGGAUAACGGGAUAUUACCCGAUUAAUUAAUAAGUGGAUAAGAUUAAAUCUCUUUCCCCUCAACAAAAUGUGGCAGAAGGCCACUAUUUGAGAAAGUGACUCAUAUGGAUUUAUGGGUAGGUGGCUGCCAAAGACUUAAUUGAAUAUUAAAGAAAGCAAUACUUAGUAAUGUCUUGUUUACAUGUUCAUUUGGCAAAAAAUCAGAAUGUACCUUAAAUUCAAAAUGGAAAUCAUAUAUCAAGUCUCCAUCUCCAUUUGAAAAGGAGUAACGUAGCAAUUUCUUAAAAAUCAAGAAAAAUUUUCUUUCUUGAUUCAAAUACUGUAACGCCAAGAGCAGAAGCUUCAACCAAAAUUCAAAAACAUUGGAAACAAGUUUUAGCUAAAAAUUCAUUCUUUAGUUCACAAACUUUAGAAGCAGAAAGCAAGUUCAUGGAAAUCCAAGUGUAAUUUCGUUCAUAUUUCGCAUAAGCAGAUUCGUUCAAAUAAUUCAAGAAACAGGUAUGUUAAGGUUAUCCCUUCUUUCUUUUGGCAUGAUCCGUACGAUAUGAACGAAACGUGCAAAUGCACAAAUUUCAUGAAUGAAUCUAUUCAUAGAAGUAUUAGAGAUAUCUAUGUUCUUGCAUUUCUAUGUGUCAUAAUAUUUUAUCAUCCGUUCAUGGGUCUCAGAAAAAUACAAAAGUUGAAAAGAGUUUACUUUAUGAUAUUACUCAAAGGCAAAAUGGUCUUAUGACAUUCCGAAAGAUUUUAUUAACGUACUUUUCAUGCAUUGCAUUCAUGUACAUUGACCCAUGACCAAAUGACGUUAUAUACGCGUAUAUAUGUAUGUAUAUAUAUGUAUAUGGGAUAUGGGAAAGGUUAUGGCGUUAUAUACGCACCACCACUUGAUUAACUGGUAUACGUUGCUGAUUUUGCCUAUAAUGGCCGAUAUGAUAUGAUGGGAUGCCCCCAGAGGCUGAUGAUGUUAUGAAAUAUGUACCUAUGCACGACAUGACAUUCAUACGUAUAUGCAUGAUGCUAAAAGUAAUUUAUGAUUUACAGAGUUAUCCAGACUUACAAGUUGAGUCAAUUACUUUAUAUUUCUUCCAUGCCUGUUAUGUACUUAUUUAUGUGCCUUACAUACUCGGUAUAUUUUUCGUACUGACGUCUCUUUUGCCUGGGGACGCUGCGUUUCAUGCUCGUAGGUCCAGAUUGAUAGGUCGAGAGCCCCCUCAAGUAGGCUAUCAGCUCAGCGGAAGAUGUUGGUGCGCUCCAUUUGUUUUGGAGUUACGUGUUUGGUUAGUAUGUUUUAGACGUGUAUUGUUUGGUAUGGCGAGAUUCUGUCCCGAACUUUAUGACAUUUUUGUACUCUUAGAGGCUUGUAAAUAUAUGUCGUGCACGUGAAAGAUUGUACGGCCUUGUCGGCCUAUAUUUUGAGUUUAUAAAUGAUCAUGUUGGCCUAUUAGGCCUGUAUAUCACGUGUAUAUGAUGAUGUAAUAAUAAAGAUACGUUAUAUUGGUACUCGGUUGAGUAAGGUACCGGGUGCCCGUCGUGGCCCAUCGGUUUGGGUCGUGACACCUAGUGUUUGAUAAAAUGCUCAAAUGAGUUGAAACCAUGAAUAUCUUCCUAAUUUGUGUUCAAUUUUGUUGUGUCUCAAAAUAGAUUGACAUUGCCAGAAUUUUUAAAAUGUUGUCGUAAUUUAAGGAAAGCUCAAAGCGAGGUAUGUUGGCUAAACUACUCUCUUAGAAUUGAAUUCCAUGAUGUUCCCGUAAGUUUCAAGUAUGGUUGUCUCAAGUUCCUUAUUCUAUGUUCCGAGUUGUUCCCAAUAAAUUCGAUUGUCCCGAAUAGGCAAAGUGUGGAGAAUUAUGUAUUCAAACAUGUUCCGUAUGUUCCUAUCACAUUAUGUUAUCCUUUGGGAAUGUGUUCAAGAAUGAUAUGUGUAUUAAAAUGCUAUGUCUUUGAGCCGUGUUUCAAAUGAAGAUUAUGAUGCCAAAUUGUAUGAGAAAAUCUCAAUAUACUUAAGACUCUUAAUUAUUCAUAUGUGUACCUGAAGUCUUGAUUGGAAAUGUAUUGUUGUUGAUAAUUUAUAAAGAUGCUUGAAAAUGAAGUAAGUGAAUUGGGGAUAAAAAGUGUGGCCAACGUGCCAAGAAUGAAAGUUAUACUUGUGACUAUUGGUGCCAAUAGAAUGAGAUGAUGUGAGAAAGAUUAUGAUAUGAGCUUUGAUUCAAUUGUUCCAAGUUGACUUUGAAAAUAGAAUUGCCUAAAAGCUUAUGUACUUAAAUGAUGCCCAUAUGUGGCUGUUUAAACUAAUGCUAUGCUUUGUAGGUAUUUUUGACGUGUUUUGUGCUCUUACAUAUUCGUGAGUUGAAAUUGUGUAUUGCCAUUUUUGGUGAAAAGUAUUUCAAGAAUAAAGUAUGUGUUACUUGUUUAUGAUUUUAACUUGUGCUUCGAUUGCCAAUCAUUUUACGCAAUUUCUUGGAAAGAAAUCCAUUGUGUUUAAAGCCUUUAUUACUAAUUAACCUAAAGUUAUGAUUUCGGAAAUAUUCUAUUCGUUGAUAUUAUGAUGAUGAUCCAUGAAAAGGAAGAAAUAAAAGUGUGGAAUAUGAAAUAUAGCCAUUGUGCUAUGAAUGAAGAAUUAUAUGUAUGACCAAGAGAGCCAAUGAAAUAAUGAUGUUGAAAGUGCCAAUGAGGCUAUAUACAGUAUGAAAGGUUAUGAGGUAAAUGCAUUUGUAUUUUUGUUUCCUUUGUAAGCAAAUAAAAAAUAUUUUUGGGAGUAUCGAUAGUUGUCGAGGAAGAGUAGGUUGAAAUAACCUAACCCCGAAACUACACAUGUCGGUGUAGGAGUGGAUUGUAAUUAUUCCCCCUUAUUUGGAAUGAGAUUGCUGUGAUAAAAUUAUUCCCCUUAAUUGGGAUGAGAUGAUUGAUAGAAAAGGAUGAUGUCGAUCCAUAUGGCGUUGUGGUGAGACGGCCUAGCAAAUCGGGUCGUGAUCGGAUUCCGUGCUAAAAGUACGGUGGUAUUGGUAUUUUGAACGGUGGUAUAUCGGUGCUAAAGAUAUCUCAACCAAAAAAAUAAUAUUAUCUUCAUAUUUUGGAAAUUAUUAUGUUUUAACUUGGAAAUUGGAUAUCAUUGAUUGUUGAUUGUUGUUUCCAUGAUUUUCCCUUUAUGUUGACAUUCUAUUUUGAAAGAGGACAUUUAGCUUUACAUACAAAUACUAUUCCAUAUGUACUAACGUCCCUUUUUUGUCGGGGGCAUUGCAUCUUCAAUGAAUGCAGGUGGUUCCACAACAGACAGCAUUGAUCAGUGAUAGUGGUACACUCUCUUCAGCUAACUUGGUUAGCCCCACUUCAUUUUGGGGUCAUAUAUCUCUUGUUUCUCAUGUAUUUUGUGUUUUGAGGUAUAGUCGGGGCAUUGUUGUCGGCAUUUCUAUAUUACUCUUCAGUUGUACUUAGAGGCUCUGUAGAUAGGUUGUGGGUGAUUUUUGAUAUUGGGAAUUGAAUUAGAAAUGUUAGUAUUUGGCAAACAUGUUUUUCUCAUUAAAUCUAUAAAGUCGUACUAUUUUGGAAAUAUUGAAUGAUGCUGUUAUUGGGAAUGAAAUGGAAAUGGUUAAUGAAAUCUUUAAUGGAGUACAUCUCCUCUUUAUUCAGGGAUGAAUUUGAGUAGAAUGAAAUCUAACAGGCUUGCUCAGCCGAGUUUACUCGGUUGAACGUCGGUUGCGCUCCACGAGUUUGGGGCAUGACAGUUUGAUAUCUUUUAUCCAUAGACGACUAUUACUACCUAGAGUUUGACUGCAUUCUUGGAUUCGAUCUUAUUUCAUCUUGUUGUUAUUCCUACUUGUUGCAAUUACCUUUUCUUUUCAGUCGUUCUCUAGCCGAUGUUCUAUUGAAAAUAGCCUCUUUGCCCUUCCAAAGGUAGGGGUAAGGCCGCGUACAUCUUACCCUCCGGCGAACUUUCUUCUCUUUUUUGCUAUUUAGUCACAUACAAUGAUACAAAUAUAUUGUAUUCAGUACAAAUACACUCAAAUACAUUAUAUUUUUGUAUAAAUAUAUUAAUUUUUGCUUGUAUUUAUGUAUUCCAAAGGCCUGUAUUUUUUUAAUAAAGCCGAAUAUCACUAUGUUUUGUGAUUUUUUGUUGUUUUGAAUAGAGUCGAAUUGAAUACAGAGAAUUGAAUACAAUGUAUAUUAGUGAAUAUAUGUGAUUUGAAUAUAAUGUAUACAGUCGAAUUGAAUAGAACGAUAUACACUCUAUUUUCUUGAUUUUUUGUUGUUUGAAUACAACUGAAUUCAAUAUAGUGAAAUUGAAUACAAUUCAAUAUUGCGCUUUCUGUUAUUAAACACUCGCAAUCACUAUUUUUAGGCAGAUUAUCUCACUGUAUUUAUAAAUACAUUUGCGCGAAUACAUGAAAUACAUAAUUAGACAUCUGUAAUCCAUGUUUCUUACUUUAUUGUAUUUAUAAAUACAGUCGCGCGAAUACAUGGAAUACAAUGCAAUAGCAGUGAAAUUUAUGUAGAAUUGAUUUUGUUGAGUUAAAUUAGGAGUGAUACACGCUAAUUGAUCCUUUUUUCAUUAUUAAACAGCUGGAUCCUCCUAUUUUUAGGAUAAUUCCGCAACUUGUAUUCAUGAAUACAGUAGCGCGAGUAUAGCGAAUACAGUCGUGUACAAAUGUAUUCCCUUAUUUUUAGGCAAUUUUUGCUACUUUAUUCAUGAAUACAUUAGCGCGAAUAUAUCGAAUACAUUCGCGUAAUAACUGAAUAGUAGCUAUAAGAAAUAAUUAUGUAUAUCGUAGCUAUAGGAAGUUAAUAACCACUAAACAAUAGUGGUUUUUGAGAAUUCUUCUUCAUAAGUAGUAUUAAUUUUUCAUAUUAUGUACCUAAAUAUAAUUGUAGUUAUCCAUACUCAAGUGACAACUUUGAUGCUCUAGUGACUAAGUACCCCUUUAGGUCAGGGGUUCGAUCCCCAUAUAGUUCUUUUUAAUUAAUACAUUUUAUAUAUAAUAAACAAACAAAAUCCUAAUUUUUCAUCCCCUUUUUAUUUAAUAUAAUAGUAUAUUCAUAUUCUUAAAAUUCUAGUUACGCCUCUCCAACCGAUAUCACUAUAGAAUUCGUUGUUACCUAUGGAUUGCAAAACUAACUUAUUGGCGAAUCGUGUGUCAAUUUGUUUUUAAGUUGCUAUAUUUGUAUCAAUUUUUCACACAAACAUAAAUCAAAAGAUUUAUCAAGAUAAACUUUGCAUGAGAGGUAGGCAGGGGUGGAUGUAGUAUUGAGAUAACGGAUUCAAUUGAACCCAUAACUUUUAACGAAGAGUAUAAAAUUUAAGUGUAAAAGUUCACUAAAAUUGUAAAAGUUUAAAUGCUUGAUCCGCCUAUGAAACUAGGUCCAAUGAAUCGGGCUGGACUAAAUUUUUUCCACUAUAUCUAGAAUUGAAGCUUUCAACAUGACAACCUAUUGGGUCUAAUAUCCAAGAUAUAAUUCUCUAAUACGAAAUACAGAAACAACAUGGACUAAAUUAUAAUAACAACAAAUAUUUGGGACCCUUUAAUAUGAAAAUGUUUGUUGAAAAAGGAAGGGGAAUUUUCUGCGAAUUCUCGGACUAAGUUGUAAAAACUACAACAAACGGGGACGAUAACGUGAAAAUACAUGUUGGAAAAAAAAAAGGGAAUUUCAGCGGCUUCUCGAUUCUUCCAAGUCUUCUCCUUUCCACUUAUAAAUAAUCAGGGGAUCCCACGCCAUAUUUGCUGUCAAAAAACUUGUGUCCAAAUUUCUACGUAACCUUAAGCUGACCCCAUCUCCACCUUCAAUCUGGUAAGCUUUCUUUUUCUCAGAAAGCCUGGGUUUUGAUUUUUUGUUUUUUUUAAAUGAUUCGAUCUUUCUUUUAAUAAUUUUGCAUGUGUUUAUGUUUUGUUUCCAGGUUCUUGUUCAGAGCAAUUUAUUGUUAGAUCUUUGUUUGGCUGUUCCAGAAUCGAGAAUGAGUCAUAUCCUUACGAUAUGUUCCUUUUCUCUGAUUUAAGAUCACGCUAAUAUCGAUCCAAUUCUUUGUUUUGAUGAACAAGAUUCUCUUAUCUUCUACUCCCUCUCCCUCUGUUCCAGUUUAUGUGAACCUAUUUCCUUUUUGGUCCGUUCCAAAAAGAAUGAACCCUUUCUAAAUUUGGUAACAAUUUAGCUUAAAGUUGCGUAACUUUAAGCUUUUAUAACCACACAAAUACUCCAUUUGGACUUGUUUAGAAUCACAAGUUCCAAACGGAGGGAGUAUUCGAUUGCCGAGAAAUUGAGAAAAAAUAUCCAAAAUUAAAGAUUUUUUAUUUAAUUUUGUUGGGGUAAUCUAUUAAAUUGGGAAUCCCCUUUCGAGAUAUAUCCUCAAUUGGCUCGGUAUCCAAAGAAUUGGUUUAGUUAGGACCUAAAGAUUGAAUUUUUGUGGCUCAAAGAAUGGCAUUUUUGUUUCUGAUUGUUGUCUGUUUUUGACUUAACUCAAGCUAACGCGGAAAUCAGAGAGAUAGAGAUCGUGAAAGGGCACAAGCCAGGGCAGGUAGCAAACCCAAACAGCCCAAAGGUGAUGGAUUGACCCCUGAACAAAGACGAGAAAGGUUCUUUCUUUCCUCCUAAACAACCCUCAAUUUCAUUGUGUUUAGUACGACGGAAGUUAAUGAAGUUAUUUUUCGUGAAAAUGCUUUUCCACGAUAUGUUUUUUUUUUUAAAUAAAAUUAUUUUUCAACGUUUAAUUGAGAGCUCAAAGAAAACUUACGUGGUAAAUAUUAAAAAUUAAUCCUAAUAUAAUGUUUUGAUGAAACUAUUAGAAUUUAUAGUCUUUAAAAAUGAUUUUCCGCCAUAUAUGAGACCAGUUUUUCUCCUUCUGAAUGAAAAAUAUUUUGUAGAAAGUAAACUUCGUCGAAUAUAUUGAAAAAUAAUUCCGUCCUACCAGACAAACUCUAGCUGUUUUUAUCCAUUGAAGCUAACGUGGGGUAUUCUUGUUUAUGAUUUGAACAGAGACGCAAAGGCACUUCAAGAAAAAGCAGCAAGGAAAGCGGCGCAGGCUGCUGGUGGUGGAAAUAACCAAUCUGAUAGUAAACUAAUUAAGAAGAAAUAGUAGAAUUUAGCAAGGAAAGUUGUGUUGUUGAUACAGGAGUAGGUAUAAGGGAAUCUUGUGGAUGAAUCAGGCGUGGUUUCUGGAUAUUGGAGGUCAUUGUUGUUCAUGUCACAGCAAAGUGUUUGAAAUAUUUGCUUCCAUUUGUUCAUGUCAUUUGUCAAGUAUUUGGAAUAUUCUACUUUAGUUUUGGCAUGUAUGGUCCUUAACUGUUUGUAUCUGAUUUGCAAUGAAAUUUCCUAUUGUGAUUAACUUACGCUAAGUGGUAACUACUGAUAUUAGUUUAGUUACUUAAAUUUGGAUGUUCCGUUAAAUGCUAGUGUUUCUCUUGUGGUAGUCAUAUAGUUUAUCACAUUUACACCAAGUUGAGAACAGGAUAGAAUUUGAACUUUGAAGAUUCCAGCUGUUGCUGAGGAUAUCAUAUGUAAAAGUUAAUAAUAAAGGAUUGAAAUUUUUCUCUUAUGUAAUAGUCUCUGUGAACUCACCUUUAUUGCUCCUCAAUAAUCACAAACAAAAAUUUAGGUAAUUUUUGUAAUUCUUAUCUUCUUUUUUUUAAUACAAAUCAG